ACAAGGAGAGCGCGUAUACAGAUGCCCAUUGCUUACGGAUGGAGACGAAUAUAAGGUUAAUCGAGAUCACCUAGUUCAGUGGUGGGAUUGUGCGGUUACGGAGGAGCUGUCCAAGAUAAACCUACGAUUUGACGUUUUAACCUCUCUUGAGGUUGUGAGGGGUGGAUUUCCACCUGCUUUGGAGUCGAUCCGGGAAACUCUUCGUCUUAUGCGUGAAGAAAUUGAUGCCCUUAAAGCGAGGUUAGCCACAAAAGAAGUCGAGAUUGCGAGGCUUAAGGGGUUACUUUCAAGUUGGUAAUAUUGUAUGAUUACCACCUAGUCUUUGUAAUAUUUGAAUUUGUAUUUUGGAUAUGGAUUUGUGUUUUCAUGAAGUCUUAUUAGUAGUUGUACCUGCAGUAAUGCUAGUUGUACUUGGUUCAACCGGUACAACUCCGACUUAUAUGUAUUUACUAAGUAUUUUUAAUAGUAGUUGUCCCAGGUUUAUAA
Molecule: long non-coding RNA, 486 nt
Organism: Arabidopsis lyrata subsp. lyrata
Lineage: Eukaryota; Viridiplantae; Streptophyta; Magnoliopsida; Brassicales; Brassicaceae
Exons: 2
Source: RefSeq, a predicted model, not a curated record